UCCAGACUCCUACGGGAGGCAGCAGUGGGGGAUAUUGCACAAUGGGGGGAACCCUGAUGCAGCGACGCCGCGUGAAGGAAGAAGUAUCUCGGUAUGUAAACUUCUCUCAGCAGGGAAGAAAAUGACGGUACCUGACUAAGAAGCCCCGGCUAACUACGUGCCAGCAGCCGCGGUAAUACGUAGGGGGCAAGCGUUAUCCGGAUUUACUGGGUGUAAAGGGAGCGUAGACGGCAGAGCAAGUCUGAAGUGAAAGCCCGCGGCCCAACUGCGGGACUGCUUUGGAAACUGCCCGGCUAGAGUGCUGGAGAGGUAAGCGGAAUUCCUAGUGUAGCGGUGAAAUGCGUAGAUAUUAGGAGGAACACCAGUGGCGAAGGCGGCCGCCUGGCCUGUUGCUGACGCUGAGGCACGAAAGCGUGGGGAGCAAAUAGGAUUAGAUACCCC
Molecule: ribosomal RNA, 441 nt
Filed under: uncultured bacterium
Lineage: Bacteria
Description: partial 16S ribosomal RNA
Rfam family: Bacterial small subunit ribosomal RNA
Source: RNAcentral